UGGAAGCACUCCGAUGCUGAUGCCGCCU
RNAcentral lists this non-coding RNA (28 nucleotides) under Mus musculus (house mouse). Lineage: Eukaryota; Metazoa; Chordata; Mammalia; Rodentia; Muridae. The record is from RNAcentral.